This 244-nucleotide long non-coding RNA is filed under the name Nicotiana benthamiana. RNAcentral's name for it is "long non-coding RNA (NBEN_LNC008410)". The record is from RNAcentral. Lineage: Eukaryota; Viridiplantae; Streptophyta; Magnoliopsida; Solanales; Solanaceae.
UACAAUGCAACUAUGCCAAAGCUGUCAAUGGAAGGAUAUGGCUAAUCUGGAAGCCUCACAUUCAGAUCCAUAUCUCCUGUGUGACUGACCAAUUUAUUCAUUGCUUGUUAGAAGAUCCUUUGAAUAAAGUCAGAAUACAAUUGAGUGUCAUUUAUGCUCACAAUUCUGCAGUCCUAAGGAAACAGCUGUGGAAUGAUCUAAGAUCAGUAAAUGUUCCCAAUCAAGAUGCAUGGCUGUUAAGUGG